GGAGGGAGGAAAGAAAGAAAGGAAAAGAAAAGAAAGAAGGAAGAAAGAGGAAAGAAAAAUGAAAUCAAGUAGUACUGAUAGUGGCCUCACAUGAAAACUUCCAGGAAGCAGUCAGACCCUACCCUCGAGUUUAUUAGGGAUAAUAAUAAUCAUCACUGGUUCUUACCAUGUUCCAGGCACUGUGCUGAGUAAACGCUGUCAUGUUUUAUCUUGUGACAACCUGUGAGCUCAUAUUCAUAUCCCCUUUUACAGAUGAAGUUCAGAGAGAUUAAGCAAUUAGCCCAAGGCCACAUGGCCAGAAUUUAAACCUAAGUAUGUGCUGUUAAUUGCUGUUAUAUACUGCCUCCCAAUUUCUUCAACAUGGAUCUUUAAUAAAAAGGCAAAACAGUACUAUUUCUCUCUGAUUGGCAGCUCUGCCUGUCCUGUGUAAGUACCACACCUGGCUGAAAGCAGAUAGCUCGCUGGCUGGCCAGUCCAGCAACACUGGGACUGGGACCCAGCUCACCUAACCAGAGAGAAUGGAUGUGUCUGGACGCCCAGCUGGCCCCCAUUUAAAACUGAUCCCCUCUCUUCUGGAGGAACUUUGGGAAGAUGCUAUCUAUCAAGGCAAAGGCUCCCUUUUUGUAUUUGUCUCUGAUGUUGGGACCUAAGAAGCCAUUUGUUUAACCCUCAGAGAAGGAGUUGAGUGAAGUAGAGUAUAAGGAAAAUGCACCCGUACCCUAAUAAAAUAGCACUCACACCCUGAGUCUAAUCUUUUGGGCUUAUACUACCUCUUGGGGUUCUCACCAUUCCUUCCCCUACUAUUACAUGAAUGAAAUGCACUGCUUCUCUUUAUAAAAUAAUGGCCAAAUUCUCAAACUAACUCAAACUGCAAGAUAGAAGUACCACAACUAUCUAUUAACUAGGGUAAUAGAAAGUUGAAUUUUAAUGACAAAAUGUACCAGUGAAAAUUACCCUCACAAGUAAUGUUAUUUAAAUAAUGAAUUUCAGGAUAACAAACUGUUUCCUUCUAGGAUCAGUAUAGUCUAAUAAGUAUACAACCUUUUAAAGGACCAUAGUCAAUAAGUUCUUUAUUUUCAGGAUACACAAAUACUAAAGUUAUGCCCUCCAAGGAUUGAAAUUGAUUGGAUUUAAGCUAAAUUCAAUUAAGGAAAUUAAACAGGUUAUGAAAUGUGACAUUUACCAUUCAUUCUCCCACUGAAGGUUUGAUCCAAGAACCACAAGAUUCCAUUAUCAAAUUUUCUGCAGGGUAUACCUGCAUUUCUACUCUAUAAUCUCUACUGAGCAGAUGGUCUCAGCAGACAGUGCGGAGUCCCUAUAACCUCAUCCAGGAAUCUAGCGAGCUGACACCCACCAAGAAUCCCUGGAAGGCAUGGGAAAUAGCAGCACAGAUGUCCAGAAAAGCCCUGUCAGGAGCUACAAGGAUCCCCAAAGUUAUUUUUGCAGCAAACGCCUACACUGAAGGCAAGGGAAGAUUCAGAUGCAAGUUACAGCCCUACAGGACCCUGGGCCACACAGCCUGGCUGCAGGCAGCUCUGAGGGUCUCCCUCCCUGCUUCCCUGGGCUCGGCGGGCACACUCAGUGGCAUGUGUGCCCAAUGUUCCCAGGGACAGGCUUCCGUUUCCCUGCUUGCUCCUGGGUCUGGCCCUGCAAGGUACUCCAUUAAAGUUAAAAAAUGAAUGGGCACAAAAGCCACAGAUAACAGUGCAGGAAAAAACACAGGUAAAAUCCUAAAUCUGUCCUGUUGGGAUGCAGAUAACUUUCUUCAUUAAAGGUAAUCCAAAACAUUUAAAAGA
Molecule: long non-coding RNA, 1796 nt
Organism: Myotis lucifugus (little brown bat)
Lineage: Eukaryota; Metazoa; Chordata; Mammalia; Chiroptera; Vespertilionidae
Exons: 2
Source: RefSeq, a predicted model, not a curated record